GACAGAGGGGGCUAGCGUUGUUCGGAAUCACUGGGCGUAAAGGGCGCGUAGGCGGCCGUGUAAGUCAGAGGUGAAAGCCUGGAGCUCAACUCCAGAAUUGCCUUUGAUACUGCUUGGCUAGAGUCUGUGAGAGGGUAGUGGAAUUCCUAGUGUAGCGGUGAAAUGCGUAGAUAUUAGGAGGAACACCAAUGGCGAAGGCAGCUACCUGGCACAGUACUAACGCUGAGGCGCGAAAGCGUGGGGAUCAAACAGG
RNAcentral lists this ribosomal RNA (253 nucleotides) under uncultured bacterium. RNAcentral's name for it is "partial 16S ribosomal RNA". It matches the Rfam family "Bacterial small subunit ribosomal RNA", at positions 524 to 776 of the family's 1533-position model. The record is from RNAcentral.